This 253-nucleotide ribosomal RNA is filed under the name uncultured bacterium. Its description in RNAcentral is "partial 16S ribosomal RNA". It matches the Rfam family "Bacterial small subunit ribosomal RNA", at positions 524 to 776 of the family's 1533-position model. The record is from RNAcentral.
UACGUAGGCAGCGAGCGUUGUUCGGAAUUACUGGGCGUAAAGAGUGUGUAGGCGGUGCUCCAAGUCUGUUGUGAAAUCUCCCGGCUUAACUGGGAGGGUGCGGCGGAAACUAGAGUGCUAGAGGGUGGGAGAGGUAAGCGGAAUUCCUGGUGUAGCGGUGAAAUGCGUAGAUAUCAGGAGGAACACCUGUGGUGUAGACAGCUUACUGGACCACUUCUGACGCUGAGACACGAAAGCGUGGGUAGCAAACAGG